CAAGUAAGAAAAAUCAAAGUUCAAGUGUGAACAUCAAGAGAUGGUGGUAGUGUGAAGGCGGCUGGCGGCUGGCGGCUGGUGGCUGGUAGCUGGUUGGUGGUUUGAGGUUGGUGGCUUGAGGUUGGUGGCUGCCUUCCUUGACCUUCUGGAUUGAUGUUCUUGAGGAGCUAAAUUGCUGAAAUUAAAACUUGGAUGUCGGUUUUAAUGCUUCAGGAUGUAAUUUGGAUUCGUUUCUUCACGAAACCUGUUUGCUGGCAGAAUUCAGCUGUCAUCUUUGAAAAAUCAUAUCACCCUCAUAUGACAUCGUUUUUGGUCUUUGUCAUUUUAUUUUUCUUCACUUAGAUUUCCAGAAAGGUAUGGAUGUUAUCUUUCUA
RNAcentral lists this long non-coding RNA (374 nucleotides) under Populus trichocarpa (black cottonwood). RNAcentral describes it as "long non-coding RNA (PTRI_LNC004687)". The record is from RNAcentral. Lineage: Eukaryota; Viridiplantae; Streptophyta; Magnoliopsida; Malpighiales; Salicaceae.